Molecule: long non-coding RNA, 614 nt
Organism: Solanum tuberosum (potato)
Lineage: Eukaryota; Viridiplantae; Streptophyta; Magnoliopsida; Solanales; Solanaceae
Exons: 3
Source: RefSeq, a predicted model, not a curated record
GUCAUUUCAGUCAUACCCUUGCUUCCAUCUUUACUCCACGUGGUAAUGUAGUCACAGCUUCACUGCACGUGGCAUUCAUGCCAGCUCAAUCUUAAUGCUCUCAUCUAUCCAUUGAUGAAGAGGAAGAUAGAAGUUUCUGCCUUACGCUUCCCAUCUCUCAGUGCAACUUCAAUUUUCAGCCAACUAUCAACAACGAUUGGAAGUGUUCUCUGUCAAUUCUCAAACUUGGCUUUGAACAACUUUCACACAGCAGACCUAAUAGCUCCAAGCCUCCGACCAAUUUUAAAUAGGAUCUACUCCUAAUUGUGCUUGAUCAUAUAUUCCUUCAAAAUCCGUGGCUGAAAUGAUGAAACAUUCACUGCCUUUUGAACAAAGUUGAACAAGAAUAUGCACAAUGUCGAUGCUUUAACCAGAUAAGCGUGACAACAAGAUGACUGCCACCAUCAUCUGUUUUGCAAUCUGUGGAAAUCAGCCUCCGUUAAAAAAAUGUAAUUAUGGAAAUAAUAUGCAUACAACACAUAGGCAGCACAAUCGUCUUAAAUAUAAUAUAUAAGCAACAUAUGUGUAUAUAUGAGCAGCCUUUAACUAAUUUGCCGCCUAUUGUAUUUGUGACA